UUGUCUUGUCUUGCUGCACCUAGACUUACACAGUUCACAGAGCACAAGGCAUGCUGUGGACUCUGACCUUACUUCUAGCUUUCUUGCCUGCUGGCAGACAAACAUCCUCCUACUUGGAAGAAAGAAUCAUGUCAAUCACCAGGCCAGUGGGGUCCUCUGUCAUAAUCACUUGUGAUAUUCACGGAAACGACAAUUACAUCCACUGGUACCGAUUCCAGAAAGGGCAGGACCCACAGCACCUUCUCUACUAUAACUCCAUCAGUUCCACAACUGUAGUGGAUUCCAGACUCGAUCCUGAGAAAUACCAUGUUUAUGAAGGCACGGACAGGAGUUAUAAAUUUGUACUUCGGAAUGUGGAGGAAUCCGAUUCUGCUCUGUAUUACUGUGCCACCUGGGCUCCCACAGUGAUUCAGCCCCGCCCUCAUCUGCACUGA
Rattus rattus (black rat) is the source of this 434-nucleotide non-coding RNA. NCBI's taxonomy places the organism in Eukaryota, Metazoa, Chordata, Mammalia, Rodentia, Muridae. The record is from the annotation of a RefSeq genome assembly.